Molecule: long non-coding RNA, 4298 nt
Filed under: Olea europaea subsp. europaea
Lineage: Eukaryota; Viridiplantae; Streptophyta; Magnoliopsida; Lamiales; Oleaceae
Rfam family: Small nucleolar RNA snoR77 (bases 3898-4024)
Source: RNAcentral
UGAAAAUAUGACCGUUUUAAAAGACCCAUUCCAUUGUUCUUCAGAGAGAGGCGACGAGUUUUGGGGUUUCUCUCUCAAGAGGAACUGGGCAAGUAUUUUUGAAGAUGGAAGAAUUAGAAAAUUAACAAAAAAAACAGAGAGUCACUUUGUACGACAAUUUCUAUAAUUUCUUUGGCUAUAUGAUUAUAUUUCUUUAUUCAUACAUGGAAUGAAUCUAGAUGGAUAGUUUCAAUUCAGGGCAUUGUUCUUUGGUCGAACGGAUGAUCAUUUUGGGCUUCACUGGAUUUCUUUUGGAGAAUUUUCUGAGGGUUUUUAUUUUAUGUACGGUUCUUUUUGCAGUUUUGACGGUUGCCUCAUGAUUAUUCUAUCAAGAACUAGACAAGGAUUCUUGAAGAUGGAUAUCAGUUCUGUUUCAGAGAAAUCAGGAAGUAAGUAAUAAUAAGAUUCUCGACAAAAAAUAGGUCAGUCAUAUUUUCACGACAAAUUUUUAACCUAUAUGAUGAUAAAAUGGGUUUCAGACUUUCAGUGGAUUCUGUUUUUUGUAUUAUCUGAGGAUUUUCAUCGAAUCUCUAAGUUUUGGGAUUCAAAAAUUGUGUUCUCUCUUGUUUCUAUAAUUUCAUUUUCUUUGCAACAAUGUUCUUUGUUGGUUCAUUUGGAUGAAUUUAGUAAGAUAUUUUCUCGGUUGAAUUGAUGAUCAUUUUUGGAUCACUCUAUAAUUAUUUCUGUGAAAUUUCUUUGAGUUUUCGCUGGAUCUUUAAUAUGUUUGGUGUUUCAUUUCAUUCAAUUUAUGGCUAUUUCAGCAAUUGAGUGUACCUCGAGUGACAUUGUUCUUUGUUGUUUGUGUAAUUCCUUUGUCUUUGUAAUUGCGUUGUUUGGUGCAUUUGGAUGGAUCUUGAAGGAUUUGUCCUUUACUGUAUUUGCAAUUAUCGUGGGAAUUUAUAUAUGGGCUGAAUUCAUUGAUGGAAUUUUUGUUUGGUUUGAAUAUUGAUAAGUUUUGGGUUCCCUUUUCAUUUUAUGUAUGGUUACUUCAGCAAUUGUAUUUUGAGUGUAUAAUGUUCUCCUUUUUCUUUAAUUUUUUUUUCUUUACACAUUCUAUUUUGGUACAAUGGCUUGAACAUUGAAGGAUUUUCCUGGGUUCAAUUUUUGGUUUGCUAGAUUUAUUUAUCUAAAUUCUUUGUGGACUUUGUUGAAUCUUUAAUAGAAUUUGUGCUUUUUGUGUAGGGAUUGAAUAAGGAUAAUUGAUAAGGUAUGGGUUCUCUUUUUAUUUUAUGCAUGCUUAUUUCAACAAUUAUGUUUCUUAUCAAGAUAAUAUUCUCUUUAUGUAUGUAAUUCUUGUGUCUUUAUGAUUACAUUCUUUUUGGUACAUUUGGAUGAAUAUUGAAGGAUCUUUUAGUCUAUCUUGUUCUUUGGAUGAUCAAUUUUGGGUUUCACUGGAUUUGUUUAUGUGAAUUCCUUGAGUUGAAUUUUUAAUGUAAUUUGUGCUUCUGGUGUUUGAUUUAUGGUUCAUUUUUUCAUUUUAUGUAUAAUCCUGUGCCUUUUUGAUUACCUUCUUUUUAGUACAUUUGGAUUAACAUUGACGGAUCUUUAGUCUGUCUUGUUCUUUGGAUGAUCAAUCUUGGGUUUCACUAGAUUUGUUUAUGUGAAUUCUGUGGGUUGAAUUUUUAAAUUAAGUUGUGCUUUUUGUGUUUGGUUUGUUCCUUUUUCAUUUUAGUAUCUUAGAGUGAGAGAGAAUGUUCUCUUUGUUUUUCCAAAUUUGAUUGUAGUUAUCUCCGUAAUUUUGAAAUUUGGUUUGUGAUUUUGGUUGUGCUUUUAUUGCACGAGCUUCCAUUACACAUUUCCAUUUUAUGUAUGGUUAAUUCAUCAAUUAUGCCUUUCGAGUUUUUUUUGUUUUUUGUUUUUUUUUAAUGGUUUUGUGAGUUCUUUUUGGGUAAUUUCAUGUUUCUGAUUAAAUUCUCUGAUGGGAUGAAUUUAGAAGGAUACUUUUUGGCUUUUGUUUGUUGGUCCAACUGAUGAUUAGCUUCAAGUGUCAGUGGCAUUGAGAAGGGCUUUUUCCUAGUCUGGUUUCUGAUAUAACUUUCAUGGUUUUCUGGUUCUAUAUCAUACUACUUCCCUCGAUCUUCAUUGUCAAUAAUCUAAUGUGAAUAUUUCUUAAGAGUUCAUUGAUUUCACUUUUGCUCUGUGCUCUAAACUCCCUCAAUCAGAGGUUGAUUUGCUCUUCUAAUUUUAUGUGCUACUAUGUACUAUUACAUUUUGUCGAAUACAAAUUCUCCAAUUUACAGCUGCUUGAAAACACAACCAUUUAAACUUCUUUGCUUUAGCUUGGAUAUUUUUCCUACUAUAAUAUUUGUUAUCUCAUAGUUCUUUUAAGAUGGGAUAUUAUUUUCCUACUACAAUAUUUGUUAUCUCAUAGUUCUUUUCAGAUGUUAACUUACAUAUUUUUAUUUUUGAAGCAACAAAAUCUGUAAACCUGUUAAAGAGGAAUAAAUCAUAUGAAUUCUAUUAUUCUUUGGAAGGCCACUGGCAACAAGCAAGGUUAACAUUUCUGAUGCAUAAAUAUUAUUUAUACUGGCACGAUCCUGAUUGAAGCAGCAAGAUUUCAAACUUCUGUUUUGAUACUUAUAUAUGUGCCGAUACUAACCUUCUAGGGAAUGUAUGUGUUUAUAUGCUAGUGGUGCUCAAAAAGAAUUCCUUGUGCGCGAUGGGAAUUGUAACACAUUGGAAUGAUCAGGUAUGUAAUCUCUAAUCUUUUCAUAUCUAUGUGAAUCUUGUUGCUAGAAGAGUACACUUACUUGAAGCCAAAUAUGUCAUUUCAUGCUUCAAUUUUUUUGCUAUACCUUACGCGUUCAAGAGCUCAAUUAGAGUUCUAUAGAAAGUAGCAACACCAAAAAUGUCGUCAGACUUGAAACAACUUCUCUUUGCACCUAUGUCAAGGUUUGUCUCUUAUACAUUUUAAUUUGUUUUUAUUUCAGUUUUCUCUAACUUGGUAAUUUCUUUCAUAAUCAAAGCAUUUUCUAACUCUCAUUGGUUAAUAAUAUGAUCAAAUAAAUGGAUAAGCAUGCCUCGUAGUUAAAUUUGGCUGGGAUUCCUAAAAUACUAGUUUGGCCCUUGAGGAAGCUUCAAUGAGAUUGAAACUUGCUUGGGCUCAAAACAGGUCGAGACUCCUUGAGCUUGAUUUUCGGUCUUUGCGAAGGAUUAUACUUAAAUGGCAUUCAAGAUUUGCUCGUGCUCCAUUCAGCCUUAGGAAGAAAUAUGCACAAACAAGGUCGAGAGUCAUUGACGCUCACUUGGAAUAAGUGUUGCUCGAACCUUGACGACUCUCGGCUUUAGGUUUGUACUUGAAUGUGAUCCACAGUAGUGAGAGGGUUCAACUCGGCCUUAGCAAGAAUAUGCUCGAACUAAGUUUAGAAUAUGCUUGGCCUUAGCAAGAAUAUGCUUGAACUAAGUUGAGAUUCGCUUUGGCCUCAAUAAGAUGAAAUAUUCUUUGACGAGGUCGAGAUUUGGGCCUCAAUAAGUUCAAUUCAACAAUCAACUCUUUUUCUAUGAUUUUUGUAUUAUUAGUGUCUUCCUGAUCAGUUAAUUCCAGUCCAAAUGUCAAUUUACAAUGUGGGACGAUGACAACUAAAUUGAUAUUGACGUUCGUCGUAAUGGUGUUCAAAUGAUACACCUUGCCGACCAAGCUGAUAUGUCACCACCCAUAAACUGAGUCCCUUUGAAUUUAAAGAAUGAUUUUUUUUUUCCCUUCUAAAUUGGGCAGAGAUGACUAAUGCUUUAUUCUGACACCUUGUAUGAGAAGAGCGUUUGCUCUUUUAUGAGCACAUAAAGCAACUCUCUGAGCCCAUUACAGUACAAAUUUUCAAUAUAGUUGCAGCUUUGUGUUGUGAAUUUAAGGAGAAAUUCAGGCAGCCUCCUUUCUUCUGUUUAGAUAAUUGGGAAGGGCGGUGUUAUUCUGCUCGUAAAUUGAAGUUGGGCUCUUCAGACUUGUUGAUUUUUUACUUGAUACUGGUCUAGUAAGCCUAACUACAUAUGUUUGCUAUAAACGCGAAGCAAUCGCAGAACACUUGCAGAAAAUUCUGAAGAGUUAUGGAGACAGUUGGACAGUUGCAAAAUCAGUCUGGUAAAACAGAAUUCGUUUCUCAGAAAGUCAUCAGUUGCUUUCAUUAUUUACUAAUAAUGUUAUUUACUAAUUCAUAAAGGCGGGAUUUGUUAUAAUGCAUAUAUAUUAAUUAUCACGAGAUUUGGUUACAAUCCAGAUAAUAUGUUCCAAUUCAUACAAGCGGUUGCUCCAAGAAGUAAUCGCA